UUCCAAGCGGUCUAUCGGUAAUUAGGCCGGCGACACAUUGGCGGUUGCGGCAGCGGUUGCAACCGCGCGGUUACAACCGCGAUAGCGUUCACAUUUUCCGCAAAUUUCGCGACAGUCAGUAGUAUGGAGUUGACAGAAACAGUUGCCAUAAUGUACGCUCUCAAAAUUAAGAAAUCUAAACGAAAAAGAAGGUACUGGGUCCAUCCGUUAUACGAAAGGCGUCUGACAAAUGGUCAGUUUCUAUGCCUUUUUCAUCAGUUGAGGGAAUAUCCCUAAAAGUUCUUUAAUUAUUACAGAAUGAGCGUUACGUCUUUUGAUGAAUUAGUGACGUUGAUGAGACCUCACUUGCAAAAGUCAAAUAGUCACUUUAGAGAUUGCAUCACUGUGGAAGGAAGAUUAACAGUCACUAUAAGGUAUCUCACGACUGGAAUGCAUUUUGCUGCUUUGCAGUAUUCAUUUUUAAUGGGAAAAAGGACAAUCUCAUUGAUCAUUAAUGAAUGUUGUCGUGCAUUAUGGACUAUAUUACAACCACUAGAAAUGCCCGAACCUACUGUUGAAAAAUGGAAAGAAAUAGCAGAGGAAUUUGAUCAGAAAUCUAAUUUCCCCCACUGCUUUGGGGCAGUCGAUGGGAAACAUAUUCGUAUAAUGUCACCAGAACAUAGCGGAUCGGCAUUUUUUAAUUACAAGAAGGCAGUUUGAGUUGGCAAAAUGCUAUGAUAUAGAUAAGUAUUAGUGUAUUGUGUUUAUUUAAUAGAUAGGUAUAUUAUUACCUUUGUAAACAAUUAUUAUAUUAAAACACUUUCUGUACAUAUAUAUAUGAAGUAUUUUUCUUA
Molecule: long non-coding RNA, 833 nt
Organism: Anthonomus grandis grandis
Lineage: Eukaryota; Metazoa; Arthropoda; Insecta; Coleoptera; Curculionidae
Exons: 2
Source: RefSeq, a predicted model, not a curated record